This is a long non-coding RNA of Diabrotica virgifera virgifera (western corn rootworm), 631 nucleotides long. RefSeq lists it as uncharacterized. The record is from RefSeq and is a predicted model, not a curated record. The transcript has 3 exons. NCBI's taxonomy places the organism in Eukaryota, Metazoa, Arthropoda, Insecta, Coleoptera, Chrysomelidae.
UAUUCUAUCUGUUCUUUCUUAAUGAGUUUUAGAUAAUUUUAGUUGUAUUUCUUUGUAAUUUUGUGUUGUACAAAGAUUAAUUUAACAUUUUCUCUGGAAGUAUUAAUUUAGGAAGAUAAUAUGCUUCAUUGGUGUUGUGUUUUGAAGUGUGAAAUGCAAAGUAAUUGUGAUAAAGUCAAGAUAAAGUUCACUUUUAAACUGAACUAAAUAAGGUAUCUGAGAGACAACGAUGGUUAAAUGCAAUACAAUGUACAGGUUUUACUAGCGAAAUGAAAAUUUUCCUGUCCUGUCUGCUGUAAUCAUUUUAUAUCUGGAAAACCAGCCGACUUAAUCGAUAAUAACAAUCUCCAGAUUGGGUUCCUUCAAUAAAUAUGGGCUAUAAACACAAUGAAAUAAGUUCCCCAAAAUCUAAAAUGGAGUGGUAUCAAAGGAGAAUUAAAGGAAAAAAUAUUCAUAUUGAAAUUAUUUAUAAGGCACUGGACUGUCUUAAAUUCUACAAUAAUACUAGAAUCAGCUGAGAGAAGUGGUCUACAAAAAACCAGGAAGGAAACGGAAUAUGUGGCUACGAAAGGCAAAAGAAAGGUUUACAAAGCAAAUGUGACACAUUUUUUUGAAAUAUUUAGGAAUAUGU